UUGACAUGCUUUAACAUGUUAUUUCGGCCUUACUAUAGUAUUUCAUCAUUUUCAUUUUUUUGAUAUUCGUUUUCAUAUGCAUGCACGUGCAUGAGAUUUUGCCUACAUAUGUACUUAAAAUUCAUGCGCAUAUAUAAAAGAACGCUUAACAUUUUCAUUGAUCAGUUAUCUAGAGAACACAAUGUCAUUUAUGCUUAUAUACAUUUCGUAGAUGAUGCAUUAAAUCACAGAAUAUCGCUUUUUAUCACUGGACUUUUCGCAAUUCUAUCAAAGCAAUCGUUUUAAAUAUUAUUGCGAUGCAAUCCCAAGCCACAUUAGUGCAAGCAACUUAUUAUGAUGACUAAUCAAUCACCUUCAAAGACGAAGAAAAAAACUUUUCAAUGACACCAUACGCCAAUGAUAAACAAAUAAAAAAAUGCAAAUAAAAACAAAAAAAAAAUAACAAAAAAUAAAAUGCAAUACAUACUCCUACGGUUAACAGUGAUUAAUAGGCAUUGAAACGAAAAAUCAAAAGCAAUUCACUUUCGUGCAAAUCAUCUUCAUAGCUUAACUCAUACGAAAUUUUCGUGGCAAUUAAAUAAUUUAAAAGUUGUGUGUGCUUGCAUCAAUUAAGUAAUGUAAACAAAUCUAUGAUUUUAGCAGCAAGCACACGUAUCAUAACUCGCGAUCCGCCGUUGUAAUGAUGAAAGAAAAGUGCGAUUAGCUUAUAUGAAAUUCAAAUUUAGGUAACUUUAUCUCGAGUCUUCUUCAUAGCAUUUGCUCUUCAUUUUCACUUAUUUUGUCAUAUUGAAAAUUUAAUCUUCUUUUAUGUUUUAUGUCACAUUAUUCUGUGCAGAUGCACUUUUCCUAGGGCUUAUUAUUUCCCCCCGAAAGGUUUGCUGUCCUUCAGAUACCAAUUUACCUAUGAUACUGAAUGAUAAUGAAAUCGCGUUAUUUUAAACAAGCAAAUGCGAUAAGUUAUUGAAGAAUUGAAACUUUUUUUUUUUUUUUUUUAUAAUUUU
Long non-coding RNA from Glossina fuscipes, 1001 nucleotides. RefSeq lists it as uncharacterized. The record is from RefSeq and is a predicted model, not a curated record. Lineage: Eukaryota; Metazoa; Arthropoda; Insecta; Diptera; Glossinidae. The transcript has 2 exons.